AACGAACGCUGGCGGCAUGCCUAAUACAUGCAAGUCGAACGAGAUCUUCGGAUCUAGUGGCGAACGGGUGCGUAACGCGUGGGAAUCUACCCUUGGGUUCGGAAUAACAGUUAGAAAUGACUGCUAAUACCGGAUGAUGACGUAAGUCCAAAGAUUUAUCGCCCAAGGAUGAGCCCGCGUAAGAUUAGCUAGUUGGUGAGGUAAAGGCUCACCAAGGCUACGAUCUUUAGCUGGUCUGAGAGGAUGAUCAGCCACACUGGGACUGAGACACGGCCCAGACUCCUACGGGAGGCAGCAGUAGGGAAUAUUGGACAAUGGGCGAAAGCCUGAUCCAGCAAUGCCGCGUGAGUGAUGAAGGCCUUAGGGUUGUAAAGCUCUUUUACCCGAGAUGAUAAUGACAGUAUCGGGAGAAUAAGCUCCGGCUAACUCCGUG
This 433-nucleotide ribosomal RNA is filed under the name uncultured bacterium. RNAcentral's name for it is "bacterial SSU rRNA". It matches the Rfam family "Bacterial small subunit ribosomal RNA", at positions 29 to 507 of the family's 1533-position model. The record is from RNAcentral.